This 432-nucleotide ribosomal RNA is filed under the name uncultured bacterium. RNAcentral's name for it is "partial 16S ribosomal RNA". It matches the Rfam family "Bacterial small subunit ribosomal RNA", at positions 29 to 506 of the family's 1533-position model. The record is from RNAcentral.
AACGAACGCUGGCGGCAUGCCUAACACAUGCAAGUCGAACGAGACCUUCGGGUCUAGUGGCGCACGGGUGCGUAACGCGUGGGAACCUGCCCUUAGGUUCGGAAUAACUCCCCGAAAGGGGUGCUAAUACCGGAUAAUGUCUUCGGACCAAAGAUUUAUCGCCUUUGGAUGGGCCCGCGUUGGAUUAGCUAGUUGGUAGGGUAAAAGCCUACCAAGGCGACGAUCCAUAGCUGGUCUGAGAGGAUGAUCAGCCACACUGGGACUGAGACACGGCCCAGACCCCACCGGGAGGCAGCAUGGGGGAAAAUGGAAAAAGGGGCGAAAGCCGGACCCCGCAAGGCCGGGAGAGUGAGAAAGCCUUUAGGGUUGAAAACCUCUUUUACCCGGGAGAAUAAAAAAAGACCCGGAAAAAAAACCCCCGCCAACCCCCGU